AACGAACGCUGGCGGCAUGCCUAACACAUGCAAGUCGAACGAUGCUUUCGGGCAUAGUGGCGCACGGGUGCGUAACGCGUGGGAAUCUGCCCUUGGGUUCGGAAUAACAGUGAGAAAUUGCUGCUAAUACCGGAUGAUGUCUUCGGACCAAAGAUUUAUCGCACAGGGAUGAGCCCGCGUAGGAUUAGCUAGUUGGUGGGGUAAUGGCCUACCAAGGCGACGAUCCUUAGCUGGUCUGAGAGGAUGAUCAGCCACACUGGGACUGAGACACGGCCCAGACUCCUACGGGAGGCAGCAGUGGGGAAUAUUGGACAAUGGGCGCAAGCCUGAUCCAGCAAUGCCGCGUGAGUGAUGAAGGCCUUAGGGUUGUAAAGCUCUUUUACCCGGGAUGAUAAUGACAGUACCGGGAGAAUAAGCUCCGGCUAACUCCGUG
This 433-nucleotide ribosomal RNA is filed under the name uncultured bacterium. RNAcentral's name for it is "partial 16S ribosomal RNA". It matches the Rfam family "Bacterial small subunit ribosomal RNA", at positions 29 to 507 of the family's 1533-position model. The record is from RNAcentral.